GACGAACGCUGGCGGCGUGCCUAAUACAUGCAAGUAGAACGCUGAAGAGAGGAGCUUGCUCUUCUUGGAUGAGUUGCGAACGGGUGAGUAACGCGUAGGUAACCUGCCUUGUAGCGGGGGAUAACUAUUGGAAACGAUAGCUAAUACCGCAUAACAAUGGAUGACCCAUGUCAUUUAUUUGAAAGGGGCAAAUGCUCCACUACAAGAUGGACCUGCGUUGUAUUAGCUAGUAGGUGAGGUAACGGCUCACCUAGGCGACGAUACAUAGCCGACCUGAGAGGGUGAUCGGCCACACUGGGACUGAGACACGGCCCAGACUCCUACGGGAGGCAGCAGUAGGGAAUCUUCGGCAAUGGGGGCAACCCUGACCGAGCAACGCCGCGUGAGUGAAGAAGGUUUUCGGAUCGUAAAGCUCUGUUGUAAGUCAAGAACGAGUGUGAGAGUGGAAAGUUCACACUGUGACGGUAGCUUACCAGAAAGGGACGGCUAACUACGUGCCAGCAGCCGCGGUAAUACGUAGGUCCCGAGCGUUGUCCGGAUUUAUUGGGCGUAAAGCGAGCGCAGGCGGUUUGAUAAGUCUGAAGUUAAAGGCUGUGGCUCAACCAUAGUUCGCUUUGGAAACUGUCAAACUUGAGUGCAGAAGGGGAGAGUGGAAUUCCAUGUGUAGCGGUGAAAUGCGUAGAUAUAUGGAGGAACACCGGUGGCGAAAGCGGCUCCCUGGUCUGUAACUGACGCUGAGGCUCGAAAGCGUGGGGAGCGAACAGGAUUAGAUACCCUGGUAGUCCACGCCGUAAACGAUGAGUGCUAGGUGUUGGAUCCUUUCCGGGAUUCAGUGCCGCAGCUAACGCAUUAAGCACUCCGCCUGGGGAGUACGACCGCAAGGUUGAAACUCAAAGGAAUUGACGGGGGCCCGCACAAGCGGUGGAGCAUGUGGUUUAAUUCGAAGCAACGCGAAGAACCUUACCAGGUCUUGACAUCCCGAUGCUAUUUCUAGAGAUAGAAAGUUACUUCGGUACAUCGGUGACAGGUGGUGCAUGGUUGUCGUCAGCUCGUGUCGUGAGAUGUUGGGUUAAGUCCCGCAACGAGCGCAACCCCUAUUGUUAGUUGCCAUCAUUCAGUUGGGCACUCUAGCGAGACUGCCGGUAAUAAACCGGAGGAAGGUGGGGAUGACGUCAAAUCAUCAUGCCCCUUAUGACCUGGGCUACACACGUGCUACAAUGGUUGGUACAACGAGUUGCGAGUCGGUGACGGCAAGCUAAUCUCUUAAAGCCAAUCUCAGUUCGGAUUGUAGGCUGCAACUCGCCUACAUGAAGUCGGAAUCGCUAGUAAUCGCGGAUCAGCACGCCGCGGUGAGUACGUUCCCGGGCCU
This 1369-nucleotide ribosomal RNA is filed under the name uncultured bacterium. Its description in RNAcentral is "bacterial SSU rRNA". It matches the Rfam family "Bacterial small subunit ribosomal RNA", at positions 28 to 1381 of the family's 1533-position model. The record is from RNAcentral.